AAGGAACCAAGGAAGAAGAGAGAGGAAAGGGCAAACAGGGGAGCUGACUCCCAGCCUUCAAAAGGCUGACCUGGAAAGUAAGACCUGCUUUCACCACCUCGCCGGGAAGAUGGGCUCUCAGAAGCUGCUGCCGGGCUAGCAACCCCAGAGCAGAAGAAAGGCAGGCUUCUUGGGUCCUGUACUGGCGAUGGAGCCCAUCACUGCGGUGAGGUCAUCUGGCCUCCUCCCACCCUUGGACACAAGAGCUGUAAGAAAACAUCAGUUCUUUCAGAUCCGACUGGUGGCACAACCCU
Molecule: long non-coding RNA, 293 nt
Organism: Suricata suricatta (meerkat)
Lineage: Eukaryota; Metazoa; Chordata; Mammalia; Carnivora; Herpestidae
Exons: 3
Source: RefSeq, a predicted model, not a curated record